UACGUAGGGCGCAAGCGUUGUCCGGAAUUAUUGGGCGUAAAGAGCUCGUAGGCGGUUUGUCGCGUCUGCCGUGAAAGUCCGGGGCUCAACCCCGGAUCUGCGGUGGGUACGGGCAGACUAGAGUGAUGUAGGGGAGACUGGAAUUCCUGGUGUAGCGGUGAAAUGCGCAGAUAUCAGGAGGAACACCGAUGGCGAAGGCAGGUCUCUGGGCAUUAACUGACGCUGAGGAGCGAAAGCAUGGGGAGCGAACAGG
This 253-nucleotide ribosomal RNA is filed under the name uncultured bacterium. RNAcentral's name for it is "partial 16S ribosomal RNA". It matches the Rfam family "Bacterial small subunit ribosomal RNA", at positions 524 to 776 of the family's 1533-position model. The record is from RNAcentral.